UCCAGGAGCCAUAUCACCCUGCAGCUCACAGUCGGCACCCCACUGAAGCUCAACAGGUGUGAGCCUGGCCAGUACCUGGAUGGGAGACCUCCUGGGAAAAACAGGUUUCUGCUGCUGGAA
RNAcentral lists this ribosomal RNA (120 nucleotides) under Lepisosteus oculatus (spotted gar). Lineage: Eukaryota; Metazoa; Chordata; Actinopteri; Semionotiformes; Lepisosteidae. The record is from RNAcentral.